RNAcentral lists this ribosomal RNA (914 nucleotides) under uncultured crenarchaeote. RNAcentral describes it as "partial 16S ribosomal RNA". It matches the Rfam family "Archaeal small subunit ribosomal RNA", at positions 450 to 1362 of the family's 1478-position model. Lineage: Archaea; Thermoproteati; Thermoproteota. The record is from RNAcentral.
CGCGGGAUUUCAGCCGCCGCGGUAACACCAGCCCCUCGAGUGGUGGGGAUGAUUAUUUGGCCUAAAGCGUCCGUAGCCGGCCGGGUAAGUCUCCCGUUAAAUCCAACGUCUCAAGCGUUGGACUGCGGGAGAUACUGCCUGGCUAGAGAGUGGGAGAGGUCAGCGGUAUUCUGGGGGUAGGGGCGAAAUCCUUUGAUCCCCGGAGGACCACCAGUGGCGAAGGCUGCUGACUAGAACACGUCUGACGGUCAGGGACGAAAGCUGGGGUAGCGAACCGGAUUAGAUACCCGGGUAGUCCCAGCCGUAAACGAUGCAUGCUNAGGUGUUGGGUUGGCCACGAGCCACCCCAGUGCCGCAGGGAAGCCGUUAAGCAUGCCGCCUGGGAAGUACGAUCGCAAGAUUGAAACUUAAAGGAAUUGGCGGGGGAGCACCACCAGGCGUGAAGCCUGCGGUUUAAAUUGGAGUCACGCCGGGAACCUUACCGGAAGCGACAGCAGAGUGAAGGCCAGAUUGAAGAUCUUGCCAGACGAGCUGAGAGGAGGUGCAUGGCCGUCGCCAGUUCGUGCCGUGAGGUGUUCUCUUAAGUGAGAUAACGAACGAGACCCGCGCCACAUGUUGCCAUCAGAAUCUAAAGGAUUGCUGGGCACUCUUGUGGGACCGCAGCCGAUAAGGCUGAGGAAGGGGCGGGCAACGGCAGGUCAGUAUGCCCCGAAUCUUCCGGGCCACACGCGGGCUGCAAUGGUAUGGACAGAGGGCUGCCACCCCGAGAGGGGGAGCCAAUCCCUAAACCAUACCUCAGUUGGGAUUGAGGGCUGCAACCCGCCCUCAUGAACAUGGAAUGCCUAGUAACUGCCAGUCAUCAUCUGGCGGUGAAUACGUCCCUGCUCGUUGCACGAAUUCGCCGAAUCACUAGU